RNAcentral lists this ribosomal RNA (381 nucleotides) under uncultured soil bacterium. RNAcentral's name for it is "bacterial SSU rRNA". It matches the Rfam family "Bacterial small subunit ribosomal RNA", at positions 26 to 412 of the family's 1533-position model. The record is from RNAcentral.
AGAUUGAACGCUGGCGGCAUGCCUAACACAUGCAAGUCGAACGGGAGUAGCAAUACUCUAGUGGCGGACGGGUGAGGAAUACGUAGGAAUUUGCCCUUAAGUGGGGGAUAACCCGGGGAAACCCGGAUUAAUACCGCAUGACCUCGAAAGAGCAAAGUGGGGGAUCGCAAGACCUCACGCUUUUGGAGAAGCCUACGUCGGAUUAGCUAGUUGGUGAGGUAAUGGCUCACCAAGGCGACGAUCCGUAACUGGUCUGAGAGGAUGAUCAGUCACACCGGAACUGAGACACGGUCCGGACUCCUACGGGAGGCAGCAGUGGGGAAUAGUUGGACAAGUGGGCGCAAGCCUGGAAUCCAGCAAUGACCGCGUGUGUAGUAAGAA